RNAcentral lists this ribosomal RNA (477 nucleotides) under uncultured bacterium. Its description in RNAcentral is "bacterial SSU rRNA". It matches the Rfam family "Bacterial small subunit ribosomal RNA", at positions 28 to 507 of the family's 1533-position model. The record is from RNAcentral.
GAUGAACGCUGGGCGGCGUGCCUCAAACAUGCAAGUCGAGCGAGGCUAUGAGUUACCGCAAGGUAAGGCAUAGCCUAGCGGCGAACGGGUGAGUAACACGUGGGUAACCUACCUGGAAAGACAGGGAUAACGAUUCGAAAGGGUCGCUAAUACCUGAUAAUAUCCAUCUGCCGGAUGGCGGAGGGAAGAAAGGGGAAACCCGCUUUCAGAUGGGCCCGCGUCCCAUCAGCUAGUUGGUAAGGUAAAGGCUUACCAAGGCGACGACGGGUAGCCGGUCUGAGAGGAUGUACGGCCACACUGGGACUGAGAUACGGCCCAGACUCCUACGGGAGGCAGCAGUUGGGAAUCUUAGGCAAUGGACGAAAGUCUGACCUAGCGACGCCGCGUGAGGGAAGAAGGCCUUCGGGUUGUAAACCUCUGUCAUGGGGGAAGAAGGAAGUGACGGUACCCCAAGAGGAAGCCCCUGCUAACUACGUG